UACGGAGGGUGCGAGCGUUAAUCGGAAUUACUGGGCGUAAAGCGCGCGUAGGCGGCUUAUUAAGUCGGAUGUGAAAGCCCCGGGCUCAACCUGGGAACUGCAUUCGAUACUGGUGAGCUAGAGUAUGGGAGAGGGCUGUGGAAUUCCACGUGUAGCGGUGAAAUGCGUAGAUAUGUGGAGGAACAUCAGUGGCGAAGGCGGCAGCCUGGCCCAAUACUGACGCUGAGGUGCGAAAGCGUGGGGAGCAAAC
This 250-nucleotide ribosomal RNA is filed under the name uncultured bacterium. RNAcentral describes it as "partial 16S ribosomal RNA". It matches the Rfam family "Bacterial small subunit ribosomal RNA", at positions 524 to 773 of the family's 1533-position model. The record is from RNAcentral.